GACGAACGCUGGCGGCGUGCUUAACACAUGCAAGUCGAACGGAAAGGCUCCAGCUUGCUGGAGUACUCGAGUGGCGAACGGGUGAGUAACACGUGGGUAAUCUGCCCUGCACUCUGGGAUAAGCCUGGGAAACUGGGUCUAAUACUGGAUAUGACCUUUCUCCUUAUGGGGGUUGGUGGAAAGUUUUUCGGUGUAGGAUGAGCCCGCGGCCUAUCAGCUUGUUGGUGGGGUGAUGGCCUACCAAGGCGACGACGGGUAGCCGGCCUGAGAGGGUGAUCGGCCACAUUGGGACUGAGAUACGGCCCAGACUCCUACGGGAGGCAGCAGUGGGGAAUAUUGCACAAUGGGCGGAAGCCUGAUGCAGCGACGCCGCGUGAGGGAUGACGGCCUUCGGGUUGUAAACCUCUUUCGGCAGGGACGAAGCGUAAGUGACGGUACCUGCAGAAGAAGCACCGGCUAACUAUGUG
This 467-nucleotide ribosomal RNA is filed under the name uncultured bacterium. RNAcentral's name for it is "partial 16S ribosomal RNA". It matches the Rfam family "Bacterial small subunit ribosomal RNA", at positions 28 to 507 of the family's 1533-position model. The record is from RNAcentral.